UACGUAGGGCGCAAGCGUUUGUCCGGAAUUAUUGGGCGUAAAGAGCUCGUAGGCGGCCUGUUGUGUUCCGCUGUGAAAUCCCCGGGGCUCAACCCCGGGCCUGCAGUGGAUACGGGCUGGCUGGAGGCAGGCAGGGGAGAACGGAAUUCCUGGUGUAGCGGUGAAAUGCGCAGAUAUCAGGAGGAACACCGGUGGCGAAGGCGGUUCUCUGGGCCUGUUCUGACGCUGAGGAGCGAAAGCGUGGGGAGCGAACAGG
Molecule: ribosomal RNA, 256 nt
Filed under: uncultured bacterium
Lineage: Bacteria
Description: partial 16S ribosomal RNA
Rfam family: Bacterial small subunit ribosomal RNA
Source: RNAcentral